RNAcentral lists this long non-coding RNA (281 nucleotides) under Elaeis guineensis (African oil palm). RNAcentral's name for it is "long non-coding RNA (EGUI_LNC024352)". The record is from RNAcentral. Lineage: Eukaryota; Viridiplantae; Streptophyta; Magnoliopsida; Arecales; Arecaceae.
AGGAGCUUGAAGUUUGGCGGGAUUGGUUCCUGCAUAAUCAUUUGAGAGAAAGGAGGGUCAGUACAGAUAUCCUCACCGUAAGUAGUGGGAGCAUGGCGGAGCUCUUCGAUCCACCGAUUCAUCUCUUGGAAUCUUUGAUCCAGGAGGUCCUCUCGACUGCGAGUCUCGAGGAUCUUCUGGUAGAACGGAGGUAGGGACCCUCCGGGGGUGGAAUCGUGAUCGGACGGAGGGCUCUCCACCUUCUGCUUCCCUUUUCUGGGGAAGACAGGGCGACUGGCCCA